This 272-nucleotide long non-coding RNA is filed under the name Helianthus annuus (common sunflower). RNAcentral's name for it is "hypothetical non coding rna". Lineage: Eukaryota; Viridiplantae; Streptophyta; Magnoliopsida; Asterales; Asteraceae. The record is from RNAcentral.
GUGAGUGUGUCUGGGGGAACGAUCGAACAAGGAAGGAGGAGGGGGAAACCCUAAACUCAAGAAAUCAAGCAAUUGAAGCCUAAAAUCAUAAGAAAAUCCAGUGCAUGAGCCAUCUUAUCGAUCAUCUAAGCAUACCUAGUGAAGUGCUUGAAAGAAUAAGAACCAUGUCAAGAUGGACCAACUCAUGGGAAGCAAACGGGUCAAAGAGGAGGCAAAGAAACUAGCAUAAACAUGGCGAGCACAAGGUAAAUCCUCAAUUCAGGCGACUUGGA